This 308-nucleotide long non-coding RNA is filed under the name Durio zibethinus. RNAcentral describes it as "long non-coding RNA (DZIB_LNC001250)". The record is from RNAcentral. Lineage: Eukaryota; Viridiplantae; Streptophyta; Magnoliopsida; Malvales; Malvaceae.
UAACCUUUUUCCACUUUAUGGUUUGUACUUGAAGAGAAAUUUAUUCUCAGCAGAGGACCCCCUUGGUCCCCCACCUGAGGGAACAAACCAAGUUCAUUUAUGACAACUACCAAAAGCGAAGCGUUCCUUCAACCCCAGAUUACAGAUUUAGUAUUUGCAAUGCCAACAGCUGCUAAGGCUUUGAAAUGGAAGCAAGUUUUUGUACAAGGAAAUUUGGCACUUCUUCUUGGGUUUUUGUGAUUUGGUUCUUCUUUUUCCUUUUCGAUGUAAUACUAAUCUGAUACUGUUAUGGUAUUUGAUGAUUUAAG